Molecule: ribosomal RNA, 468 nt
Filed under: uncultured bacterium
Lineage: Bacteria
Description: partial 16S ribosomal RNA
Rfam family: Bacterial small subunit ribosomal RNA
Source: RNAcentral
GACGAACGCUGGCGGCGUGCUUAACACAUGCAAGUCGAACGGAAAGGCCCUGCUUUUGUGGGGUGCUCGAGUGGCGAACGGGUGAGUAACACGUGAGUAACCUGCCCUUGACUUUGGGAUAACUUCAGGAAACUGGGGCUAAUACCGGAUAGGAGCUCCUGCUGCAUGUUGGGGGUUGGAGAGUUUCGGCGGUUGGGGAUGGACUCGAGGCUUAUCAGCUUGUUGGUGGGGUAGUGGCUUACCAAGGCUUUGACGGGUAGCCGGCCUGAGAGGGUGACCGGCCACAUGGGGACUGAGAUACGGCCCAGACGCCUACGGGAGGCAGCAGUGGGGAAUAUUGCACAAUGGGCGGAAGCCUGAUGCAGCAACGCUGCGUGCGGGAUGACGGGCUUCGGGUUGUAAACCGCUUUCGCCGGUGACGAAGCGGGAGUGACGGUAAUGGGUAAAGAAGCACCGGCUAACUACGUG